RNAcentral lists this ribosomal RNA (580 nucleotides) under uncultured bacterium. RNAcentral describes it as "bacterial SSU rRNA". It matches the Rfam family "Bacterial small subunit ribosomal RNA", at positions 338 to 916 of the family's 1533-position model. The record is from RNAcentral.
CCUACGGGAGGCAGCAGUAAGGAAUAUUGGUCAAUGGAGGCAACUCUGAACCAGCCAUGCCGCGUGCAGGAUGACGGCCCUAUGGGUUGUAAACUGCUUUUGUACCAGAGAAAACCUACUCACGUGUGAGUAGCUGAUAGUAUGGUAAGAAUAAGCAUCGGCUAACUUCGUGCCAGCAGCCGCGGUAAGACGAAGGAUGCAAGCGUUAUCCGGAUUCAUUGGGUUUAAAGGGUGCGUAGGCGGACUUGUAAGUCAGUGGUGAAAUCUCUUCGCUUAACGAAGAAACUGCCAUUGAUACUGCAGGUCUAGAGUAUAGAUGACGUUGGCGGAAUAUGACAUGUAGUGGUGAAAUACUUAGAUAUGUCAUAGAACACCGAUUGCGAAGGCAGCUAACGAAACUAUAACUGACGCUGAGGCACGAAAGUGCGGGGAUCAAACAGGAUUAGAUACCCUGGUAGUCCGCACCGUAAACGAUGAUUACUCGUUGUUGGCGAUAUGACAGUCAGCGACCAAGCGAAAAGCGAUAAGAAUCCACCUGGGGAGUACGCCGGCAACGGUGAAACUCAAAUGAAAUUGACGG